AUACUUACCUGGCAGGGGAGAAACCAUGAUCACAAAGGUGGGUUUCCUAGAACAAGGCUUAUCCAUUGCACUGUGGAUGUGCUGACUCCUGUAAUUUCCCCAAAGGUGAGAAAUUCGACUGCAUAAUGUGUGGUAGUGUGGGAUUGCAUUCACAUUUUCCCAUA
Small nuclear RNA from Hyaena hyaena (striped hyena), 164 nucleotides. RefSeq annotates it as U1 spliceosomal RNA. The transcript has a single exon. NCBI's taxonomy places the organism in Eukaryota, Metazoa, Chordata, Mammalia, Carnivora, Hyaenidae. The record is from RefSeq and is a predicted model, not a curated record.